Triticum aestivum (bread wheat) is the source of this 304-nucleotide long non-coding RNA. RefSeq lists it as uncharacterized. The transcript has 3 exons. The record is from RefSeq and is a predicted model, not a curated record. Lineage: Eukaryota; Viridiplantae; Streptophyta; Magnoliopsida; Poales; Poaceae.
CUUUUUGCCAUCUGUUUGCGCAACUCCAUCUCGAUCGUUUUCGCAGCCGCUGCCGCCGCCGCGGCGGAGCUAGGGCUUAAUCGAGCGGCAGACCAUCACUCCAUCAGCAACAUUGACGAGCUGACCCACGAAGGUCACAGCACGGCUUGUGGGUCUGACUAAUCUCAACCAAAGGUUCGAUACAUGGGUGUUACCUUUUUUUGUAAGUUCAGAGUUGGUGGUGGUCCGUUCACCCUGAGCAGUUACCAGUAAGUUUUCUCGCAAAAAAAUAUUAAGCUACGAAAGUUUAAUUAUGAAGUACAUA